CAGUGACCGUGCUCUCAUGGUCACGUAAACCACUGAAUUUAAGAAAGCUGUGAAUGUUUCUUUCUUUACACAAUGGUUGCCCAUGAGAUGAUGAGGGGGUCUUUUGUUUCCGAGCGGACAGGUGACAGUUUUGCGGUAGGAAGCUCUGAUGCUUAUUUUCCCCUCUGUGAGUGUUUAUAAAAGUGUGAGUAGUGGUGAGCUGAGGUAAUACGCAUCAGACUCAAAAGAGAAGAUGAGGUGUGUUUCGGUAACCCUUCUGCUGUGCCUGGCUACAAUGCUGCUCGCUCAAGUUAACUGCCAAAUAAGUGGCCGGGCAAGUUGCCUUUGUCUCAAGUUAUCAAAUCGGGUUCCUCGGAAGGAAAAUAUUGAAAGCUACAUGAUACAAAAUGCAGGCGUCUGCCAUAUUGAUGCUAUUUUAUUUAAAACCGUUAGAGGUCGUUUCAUUUGCGCUGAUCCAAAAAUCCCUUUGGCAACAGAAGCCAAGAAAUAUGUGGAUAACAAGAAAAAGGCAACAAGAGCCCUUCCCGUAAACUCUGCAUCAACAUUUAAAACAUUGAGUACCACAUCACAAUGGAGUACAACGGGAUGAACUAAGAACUACUUCAGUUGAACUAUCCACAUUUUUAACAUAUAUCAGUGAUGUUUGUGUUGGAUUUUAUGUUAUUUGCACAUGGUUCAUUAAAAUGUUUUAUACAAAGUA
Long non-coding RNA from Carassius auratus (goldfish), 700 nucleotides. RefSeq lists it as uncharacterized. Lineage: Eukaryota; Metazoa; Chordata; Actinopteri; Cypriniformes; Cyprinidae. The record is from RefSeq and is a predicted model, not a curated record. The transcript has 3 exons.